AAUCGAGCCACACUCCUAACCAAUCCGAAUACCAAUGGUUCUUGUUUUUCUUCAGGCCACCAUCAAACAGGCCAUAGAUGAGGUGCCCUGUUUGAUGGUUCAAUAAAUGACUGUCUAUGAAUAAAACCAAUAAGAUAUCUGACUAAGCACAUACAAACUACGCAAAAGAAAUUAUGACAGCCAGAGUACUAAGCUUGUGCGAUAGCUAUGCCCAAAACAAAUAUAUUUGAGGACGAGACCGAAAUAAAAUACAUAAUGUUUCAGCUCUGCACUUGGGGACACAAUCCAUCCAAGUUUAGCUAACAUAUUUUCUUACUGAAUCUAACUUAAUUCAAGCAGAUACUUGGCAUGGGAGAGUAAACUACACAUACAUGACGGAGAGGGGGCGAUACUGAAGAACUCCGAUGGUGAACACCUAGUUGCUGACCGUUGUUGUGGGAGUAGAUGCAGCCCGCAUCAAACAGAAUGCCAACCACCACCGUACCCUAACAAUGAUUGCCAGUGAUGUUAAAAUAUUAUACAAGAACAGAACUUCUAUAUGAAAACAGUAAAUAAACACAUAAUUCGAGCAGAUAUAUUGGAUGGGAGAAUAAGACACAUACUCAUAAAUUGAUGGAGAGGGGGCGAUAC
Molecule: long non-coding RNA, 630 nt
Filed under: Triticum aestivum (bread wheat)
Lineage: Eukaryota; Viridiplantae; Streptophyta; Magnoliopsida; Poales; Poaceae
Description: long non-coding RNA (TAES_LNC014022)
Source: RNAcentral